Molecule: long non-coding RNA, 3136 nt
Organism: Monomorium pharaonis (pharaoh ant)
Lineage: Eukaryota; Metazoa; Arthropoda; Insecta; Hymenoptera; Formicidae
Exons: 2
Source: RefSeq, a predicted model, not a curated record
AUUCCGUUCUCAGCGUUUGUUAAUUAAUAAAUUCUUUGUUAUAUUAAAUUUUAAUGAUUAUCUUGCAUAGUUACAUUCUUUUUGACAACAUCUGGCAUUGAAAGGCAAGAGACUGUCUCGUGACAUUGACCUUGAUCGCAAUACUUUUUCGAUAGCAUCAUCGUUGUUGCAAUUUCCCGAGGCCUACGCUCACCCUCGCUGUAAGUUUACGAGUACUACUCUUAUACAUAUGUAUAUUUGCUGAAUCAUACAUUACAAUAAAUUGCCAAUGUCUCGCACGUAUAUGAUUGUAUGUAAAUAAUCAUUGAUCAAUGUGCCGAAAAAAAGAGAUCGACAAAGUAUCUUAAAGAAACAAUAUAGUAAAAGGGUAAAAUGGGUAUUAUAUACGGAGAGAAUUUUCUCUUAAAAAUUACCCUUAAAAUCAUGGUAAUUGUAAAACAACGUAAACCUUGAAGAAUUUUACUAUACUUUUAACAAAAUUUACUAAAAUUUUAAUAAAAUUUGGCAAAGUUUUAGUAAAUUUUCUUAGAAGUAUAGAAAAAUUUUCUAAAAUUUUAAUAACAUUUAGCAAAGUUUUAGUAAAUUUUGUUAAAAGUAUAGUAAAAUUCUUCGAGGUUCACGUUGCCUCAGAAUUACCAUGAUUUUCAGGAUAAUUUUUAAGAGAAAAUUCUCUCCGUGUACCGAUCCUAAUAUAUCUUUGCACAAUAACAAAAAAUUAUAUUAAAAAUAUACGAAAAGUCAGAGGCAGGGUUGUCUUGCAAUAGAUUGUCCUCUUAUAGGAACUUGGUAAUUUUAAUCCGUUAUUAAGAUACAUCGGAUCACGAGUAAUGCCUUGCUAGGUGAAUAAAUUACACGGCGUUGAAAGCUUUAUCCGCUUGAUGAGCGCCAUCAGGGAGUAGUAAGGCGCUUGAGUGUUAGCUCAAGUGGCGAUAAUUGAACGGGCUCCAAGGGAAACGGGCUCGAAAGAUGCGUUUUCGUAGCUCUUGAUAGACUCUCGCAUCAUGGUUUACGUAACAUAUGUAUUUACAUGCGAAACAUUUUAAAAGCGAUCUCACGCCGCCACAAUUAAGGUGCCAUGUAACCGGAUUUACGCAUGACGUUUAGGUCUGUUUUCUUGGGUUUUUUUUUUUUUCCCCCAUAAUGCAUUACUUUCACAGCGUAUAUAUUAUCUAUAUCACUUUCAAAUCUUUUUAAAUUAAAAAUAUAAAUAAAGUGCCUACAAAACUGGAUAUUCAAUAACCAUAAAUAUAUUUUUAUAAACGACCUCUAAUUUUAACACUUAUAAUUUUUAAACUAAAGAACUUGAUUCUAGUGAAUUCUUAUAUAUGAUAUUCCCGUAACGAAAUCUUGUUUUAAAACGGAAACCAGAUAUACUGCAGGAUGCAGUGAUAUCGCAGGUCAGCCGCAAGGCUGACACAAGACACAACCACAGUGAAAAGCUUUGAGAGCACAUGCCCACAUGCCCACUACCAUCAUCGAGAGUGCCAUUGCGGUCAGGUGUGCAUUUUGAUGUCGGUGAACACACACACACACACAAAGUUGGGCGACGUACACCUGUUAUUAUCGCCGUUACAUUCGCGCAAGUUGACAAGUAGGUAUCGGUCCAGGUGAUGCUGUUUUACGAAAUGGCAUCACAUCUUACUCUGCUCUCAUAUUAUACUGCUUGAUUCGCGACGUGAGUCGAUUUGCAACUCGCGUGUGCAAAAGUGAGACGCGAUAUCGGGGUUAAUGGCAGGCGUAAACGUUAUACGAAUGGCCUAAUCGCCCGCAGUGACGAGUAAAUUAAUUGACGUGCCGUUUGCAUUUACAGACUCUGGAUCUAUAUAAUCAUUCUUCUCGUUGAAUAAUUAUAUACGCAAGUUAAUAACCACGCUGCAAAGAUGCACAAAAAUAUCAUGAAAUUGUAUUACAUAUAACUUGAUAGACAUUUAAAUUACAAUAGAGCGAAAUAACUCAGUAAGAAAAGGUGAGCUAAGCAUAAUCGUUUGACAAUGUACUAUUAUUCAGUUUUAAUUCUCAAAAUCUAUGCGUUAUAAUAUAAUAUCGUUUUCAUGAAUCAUCGUAUCAUUGAAGCAAAUAUUCUUUCACAUGAUUUUCUAGAAUCGAUGAUCAACGCGAACGAUGACCACAAUAAUCCUUUCGAUGACUCAAGAUUACUUAUAUGUACGUGCGAAUGUCACUGAUUUUCUCUCUCAUGGAACUUCACGGAUUAUGAAAGCAUAUAUGUAUAUCGAUGCAACGUAACAAUUUAUAUAUGAUGAUUCAUGAACGUUGGACAAAGAUCUUGACCAAGCAGUUUUCUUCUUUGUAUGUUAUUCAUCCGUAUUCAAAGGGGAACAAUUACUUAUCUGACGCAAAAUCAUUCUGCUUUUAAUAACUCGCUGGUGUUUAAUGCAUCGGCACGAUGAUCGGAGUCAAUAACAAGAAGAUGCAAUUGGUUCAUCGAAACAAAACAAUAUUUUACGCCAUCACGAAUGUCAGUUACUCGAAACAAUUUAACUCCAGUUGAAAUGCAUCCUAAUAAUGAUCUCUGGCUUUUAAAUUAUCUUUCAUAAAUUCUUCUUCUACGAAAUCGAAAAGCGCAUCAAAACAAUGAUUGCGUAUGUACGGACGUAUUAUGCAUUGCAUAAUGGAGAAAACCGACGGAAGUAAUCGGAGAAGCAACAUCAAACGUGAUCCGAGGUAGAGGUGCUCAUUACGAAAGUCGCGGAAGUGAAAUCGGCGCGAUCGCUUAAUGAAUCAUCGAAUCCAAAUGUAACGAACCAGUGACGUCAAAUCAAACAUUCUUAAAUGGUACCGAAGAAUAAGCAAGUGAAACGGAGUCAUGCACGAUUAGCAGAUUAAAAUAUGAUGGUACACUCGGGCACUGUUACACGGUCAGAGCAAACUUAUUAGCCACUGUGACCUAAGUCCCGCAAGAAGAUAUAUCCGUUGCCUGACUCAUCAAUUCGUGAUACCUCAUUUACCCAUGAGGGAUAAUCCCUCCUCAGCCUCCAUUGAUGUCACGGGAAAACAAAUAUCUAUAUAUUUAUAUAUAAUUUAUCAUGUUGUAUAUUAUAUGUAUAUUUGCCAAGAUAUUUGCUGAUUUGUUGCCUAAAUUCUUUUUCCUCUGUAAAAAUAAAUAAAUUUAAACACA